GGGUAUGGCUGUUCGCCAUUUAAAGUGGUACGCGAGCUGGGUUUAGAACGUCGUGAGACAGUUCGGUCCCUAUCUGCCGUGGGCGUUGGAGACUUGAGGGGAGCUGCUCCUAGUACGAGAGGACCGGAGUGGACGUACCUCUGGUGUUCCGGUUGUCACGCCAGUGGCAUUGCCGGGUAGCUAUGUACGGAAAGGAUAACCGCUGAAAGCAUCUAAGCGGGAAGCCUCCCCCAAGAUAAGGUCUCCCGGACCCUUGAGGUCCCUUAAGGUCCGUCGAAGACUACGACGUUGAUAGGCGGGAUGUGGAAGCGCAGUAAUGUGUGAAGCUAACCCGUACUAAUUGACCGUGAGGCUUGACCAUAUAACACCCAAGC
This 374-nucleotide ribosomal RNA is filed under the name Gammaproteobacteria bacterium. RNAcentral's name for it is "partial 23S ribosomal RNA". It matches the Rfam family "Bacterial large subunit ribosomal RNA", at positions 2569 to 2925 of the family's 2925-position model. Lineage: Bacteria; Pseudomonadati; Pseudomonadota; Gammaproteobacteria. The record is from RNAcentral.